CCUACGGGAGACUGCAGUGAGGAAUAUUGGUCAAUGGACGAGAGUCUGAACCAGCCAAGUAGCGUGAAGGAUGACUGCCCUAUGGGUUGUAAACUUCUUUUAUAUGGGAAUAAAACGUUCCACGUGUGGGAUUUUGUAUGUACCAUAUGAAUAAGGAUCGGCUAACUCCGUGCCAGCAGCCGCGGUAAUACGGAGGAUCCGAGCGUUAUCCGGAUUUAUUGGGUUUAAAGGGAGCGUAGGUGGAUUGUUAAGUCAGUUGUGAAAGUUUGCGGCUCAACCGUAAAAUUGCAGUUGAAACUGGCAGUCUUGAGUACAGUAGAGGUGGGCGGAAUUCGUGGUGUAGCGGUGAAAUGCUUAGAUAUCACGAAGAACUCCGAUUGCGAAGGUAGUUCACUGGACUGCAACUGACACUGAGGCUCGAAAGUGUGGGUAUCAAACAGGAUUAGAUACCCCAGUAGUC
RNAcentral lists this ribosomal RNA (460 nucleotides) under uncultured bacterium. RNAcentral describes it as "partial 16S ribosomal RNA". It matches the Rfam family "Bacterial small subunit ribosomal RNA", at positions 338 to 795 of the family's 1533-position model. The record is from RNAcentral.